Long non-coding RNA from Pogoniulus pusillus (Red-fronted tinkerbird), 1061 nucleotides. RefSeq lists it as uncharacterized. Lineage: Eukaryota; Metazoa; Chordata; Aves; Piciformes; Lybiidae. The transcript is spliced from 3 exons. The record is from RefSeq and is a predicted model, not a curated record.
CCAACUGGGCAGAGGGAUCCUCCUCCCAUCAUCACUGCAGGGAUACCUCAUGUCAAAUCAGGCUGUCCAGAACCACAUCCAGCCUGGACUUAGAGACCUCCAGGGAUGGAGCUUCCACCACCUCUCUGGACAAUCUGUUCCAGCAUCUCACCACCCUCACAGUGAAGAACCUCUUCCCAACAUCUAAUCCAAAUCUAUCCACCUCUAAAUUUGCUCCAGUUUGUCUUUUCUGACUAUAAAUAACCAAAGAGUAACCCAGUGCCAGUUCAACACUGUUAAUUUUAAAGUACGAUAAAGUCUAACAGAUUGUCAAAAUCUUACAAUCAUUAUCUCUCCCAAUACAUUGUAUGUGAAAGUGGUGAUUUAAAAUUAUUCUUGUGAACUUCUUUUCACAAAAGAGAAUCAUGUAUUUGGAGUCUACUCAAAUGGCCUUCCCAUGUUAGCAGAACCACCCUGUCCAUUCUUGGCAGUGUGGAUUUUCAUGUAGAAAACUUCGAACAGGCUGGAAGGUGAAGGUGGCUAAUUUGAUUUAGAUUAUGCAUCCUCAAACAACAAACAAGGCUUCAUUUCCAGUUCCACUGACAGAUUCUGAUUCUAAACGCUGCAGCCCCUGUGAUGGAGAGUUUCCAAGCAGGUUAUCUUCUAGCCACCUUCACAGGGAAAUUAAACAGUACUUAUUUACUUAUUUUUGCAUUUACAAAAUUAACAGUUUUGGAAUUCAGAGGUGUAAAGCCCAUAUUAAUUUUUCUGGUUUGCCCACAAAAUAGUGAUGGUCCCUGGAAGCAAAAGCAAGAUAACAAAACUAAUUUAUUGAGAGAUUUAUGUUACUUUCAAUUCUAGUUUGAAUUACCAGUGAGUGGGUUUACUCUCUGCAAACUCUUUGAGUGAUAAUUUUAAUUAGACCAAGUGAUGUCAAUGAAAGACAUGAACAAGCUUUUGUCCUCAUGAGCCCAUUUUUGGACCUGUAGUCUAUUCUCCUUUUGAGAACAGUUUAUUUACUCUGCUUUUCAUGACUUUGUCCUUAUACUUUUCAGUGAAAUAAAUUACAGUAAACAGACCAA